This 26-nucleotide small RNA is filed under the name Arabidopsis thaliana (thale cress). RNAcentral's name for it is "trnS(GCT)". The record is from RNAcentral. Lineage: Eukaryota; Viridiplantae; Streptophyta; Magnoliopsida; Brassicales; Brassicaceae.
GGAGGGAUGGCUGAGUGGCUUAAGGC